Molecule: transfer RNA, 62 nt
Filed under: Hypocassida meridionalis
Lineage: Eukaryota; Metazoa; Arthropoda; Insecta; Coleoptera; Chrysomelidae
Description: tRNA-Leu
Source: RNAcentral
GUUAUUUUGGCAGAGUAGUGUAUUGGAUUUAGAUUCCAAGUAAGUAAGUUUUACAAAUAACA